This 969-nucleotide small RNA is filed under the name Mycoplasma crocodyli MP145. RNAcentral's name for it is "bacterial LSU rRNA". The stretch from base 471 to 969 matches the Rfam family "Bacterial large subunit ribosomal RNA", at positions 1 to 497 of the family's 2925-position model. The record is from RNAcentral. Lineage: Bacteria; Bacillati; Mycoplasmatota; Mollicutes; Mycoplasmatales; Mycoplasmataceae.
CGCCCGUCACACCAUGGGAGCUGGUAAUGCCCGAAGUCGGUUUUGUCAACUACGGAGACAACUGCCUAAGGCAGGACUGGUGACUGGGGUGAAGUCGUAACAAGGUAUCCCUACGAGAACGUGGGGAUGGAUUACCUCCUUUCUACGGAGUACAGUUGUUACAAAAUGUCACAACACUUACAAUAAAGACUAAUUAAUAUAAUAAAUAAACAAGGCGUCAUGUUCUAAUGAUUUUAGUCCAUUAGGUAUAUCUAGUUUUGAGAGAACUCUCUCAUUUGUUCUUUGAAAACUGAAUAGUAAAGAAUAUUGAUAUGAACAACGACAUCAAUAAAUAAAAUUAACAAGAACAAUUUUGUCAAUUUGUUUUGAUCAUCGAGAAAUUUAUUACAUCAAGUAAUAAUUCAUUGAAAUGUCUUAAAAUACAUCAACAAUAGGAAAAUACAUAACAAUAAAUAUUUUGAAAGUUGUACUUUUAAAUAAGUAAGAGUUUGUGGUGGAUGCCUUGGGUCUGGAAGUCGAAGAAGGACGUGAUUACCUGCGAUAAGCCUCGUGGAGCUGGAUAUACGCUUCGAAACGGGGAUUUCCGAAUGGGGAAACCUAAUUAGAGUAAUGUCUAAUUGCUUUGCAAUGAAUAAAAUAGUUGCAUAGACGAGAUACGUUGUGAACUGAAACAUCUUAGUAGCAACAGGAAGAGAAAAUAAAUAAUGAUUCCAUUAGUAGCGGCGAGCGAACAUGGAAGAGCCCAAACCAACACAUGUUGGGGUUGUAGGACAGUCUACAUAAAGUUACAAAACUUUAUCAUAGCAGAAGAAGCUGGGAAGCUUCGGCAUAGAGGGUGAUACCCCCGUAUGCGAGAUGGUAAAGACUUUUGACUGUAUCCUGAGUAGGGCGGGGCACGUGAAACCCUGUCUGAAUCUGCCGGGACCAUCCGGCAAGGCUAAAUACUAACCAGACACCGAUAGUGAACUA